This 492-nucleotide ribosomal RNA is filed under the name uncultured bacterium. RNAcentral describes it as "partial 16S ribosomal RNA". It matches the Rfam family "Bacterial small subunit ribosomal RNA", at positions 29 to 507 of the family's 1533-position model. The record is from RNAcentral.
AGUGAACGCUGGCGGUAGGCCUAACACAUGCAAGUCGAACGGCAGCACAGUAAGAGCUUGCUCUUACGGGUGGCGAGUGGCGGACGGGUGAGGAAUACAUCGGAAUCUACUUUUUCGUGGGGGCUAACGUAGGGAAACUUACGCUAAUACCGCAUACGACCUACGGUUGAAAGCAUGUGAUCUUCGGACCUUGCGCGGUUGAAUGAGCCGAUGUCGGAUUAGCUAGUUGGCGGGGUAAAGACCCACCAAGGCGACGAUCCGUAGCUGGUCUGAGAGGAGGAUAGGCGACACUGGAGCGGGGACACGGUCCAGACUCCUACGGGAGGCAGCAGUGGGGAAUAUUGGACAAUGGGGGCGAGCAUGAUACAGCGAGACCGCGUGGGUGACGGAGGCGUUCGGGUUGGAAAGACCUUUUGUUGGGAAAGAAAAGCAGCCGGUUAAGACGAAGCUGUUCUGACGGUACCCAAAGAAGAAGCACCGGCUAACUUCGUG